This 489-nucleotide ribosomal RNA is filed under the name Cyclophora tenuis. Its description in RNAcentral is "partial Bacterial large subunit ribosomal RNA". It matches the Rfam family "Bacterial large subunit ribosomal RNA", at positions 505 to 995 of the family's 2925-position model. Lineage: Eukaryota; Bacillariophyta; Fragilariophyceae; Cyclophorales; Cyclophoraceae. The record is from RNAcentral.
GAGGGAAAGGUGAAAAGUACCCCGGGAGGGGAGUGAAAUAGUACCUGAAACCGUGCGCCUACAAGCGGUCGGAGCGCGCAAGCGUGACGGCGUGCCUUUUGCAUAAUGAACCUGCGAGUUGCCGUGGCCGGCGAGGUUAAGGGGGACGACCCCCGCAGCCGUAGCGAAAGCGAGUCUUAAUAGGGCGCAUGUCGGCCGCGGCAGACGCGAAACCGAGUGAUCUACCCUUGUCCAGGAUGAAGUCCGGGUAACGCCGGAUGGAGGUCCGCACCGAUAAGCGUUGAAAAGCUUCCGGAUGAGGUGAGGGUAGGAGUGAAAGGCCAAUCAAACUCGGAGAUAGCUCGUACUCCCCGAAAUGCAUUUAGGUGCAGCCUCGUCGUUUAGUGCAGAGAGGUAGAGCGACUGAUAAGAUGCGAGGGCUUCACCGCCUAUCAAGUCUUGCCAAACUCCGAAUGCUCUGCAGUAUCACGCCGGGAGUGAGGCAAGACU